Molecule: long non-coding RNA, 297 nt
Filed under: Mustela putorius furo (domestic ferret)
Lineage: Eukaryota; Metazoa; Chordata; Mammalia; Carnivora; Mustelidae
Description: lncRNA (ENSMPUG00000026639.1)
Source: RNAcentral
CAGAGAUCAUUCUGGCUAUGGAAAAUGGACCAGAAAGAAGAAGAGUAUACAUGAAGGAGUGGUCAGGAGGACAUCAUCACGGCUCAGUUACAGGUAAAUCCUUGGGAUUUGGUGUGCAGCUGCAGCAUAGUUUUCUGGGUACUUUCCAGAAUCAACAAGCACGACAUCCAGGACUGUAUAAAUGUGGCUCAUUUGCUAACUUCCUCACUCCCACAGCGGGCAUGCCUGGCUCUGACUCUGACCUCAUGUGAAAUAAAUGACCUAGAGACUUAACAGGGCACUCAUGUUUCCCAACGU